This 251-nucleotide unclassified non-coding RNA is filed under the name uncultured fungus. RNAcentral describes it as "partial contains 5.8S ribosomal RNA, internal transcribed spacer 2, and large subunit ribosomal RNA". The record is from RNAcentral. Lineage: Eukaryota; Fungi.
AACGCACAUUGCGCCUAAUAGUAUUCUGUUAGGCAUGCCUGUUCGAGCGUCAUUUCAACCCCCAAGCCCUAUUUGCUUGACGUUGGGAGAUUACGGAGACGUAACUCCUCAAAUAUAGUGGCGGAGCUAGGUCGUGCUCUAAGCGUAGUAACUUCUAUUAUCGCUUCUGUAGCCGGCCUUGGUCUCGCCGUAAAACCCCCUAUAUUUUACUGGUUGACCUCGGAUCAGGUAGGAAUACCAGCUGAACUUAA